AUUGAACGCUGGCGGAAUGCUUUACACAUGCAAGUCGAACGGCAGCACGGACUUCGGUCUGGUGGCGAGUGGCGAACGGGUGAGUAAUACAUCGGAACGUGCCCAGUAGCGGGGGAUAACUACUCGAAAGAGUAGCUAAUAGCGCAUACGCCCUACGGGGGAAAGGGGGGGAUCGCAAGACCUCUCACUAUUGGAGCGGCCGAUGUGGGAUUAGCUAGUUGGUGAGGGAAAGGCUCACCAAGGCGACGAUCCGUAGCUGGUUUGAGAGGAGGACCAGCCACACUGGGACUGAGACACGGCCCAGACUCCUACGGGAGGCAGCAGUGGGGAAUUUUGGACAAUGGGGGAAACCCUGAUCCAGCCAUUCCGCGUGUGCGAUGAAGGCCUUCGGGUUGUAAAGCACUUUUGGCAGGAAAGAAAUCGCAUCAAUUAAUACUUGGUGUGGAUGACGGUACCUGCAGAAUAAGCACCGGCUAACUACGUGCCAGCCGCCGCCGUAA
This 500-nucleotide ribosomal RNA is filed under the name uncultured bacterium. Its description in RNAcentral is "partial 16S ribosomal RNA". It matches the Rfam family "Bacterial small subunit ribosomal RNA", at positions 30 to 523 of the family's 1533-position model. The record is from RNAcentral.